RNAcentral lists this long non-coding RNA (721 nucleotides) under Heterocephalus glaber (naked mole-rat). RNAcentral describes it as "lncRNA (ENSHGLG00100025922.2)". The record is from RNAcentral. Lineage: Eukaryota; Metazoa; Chordata; Mammalia; Rodentia; Bathyergidae.
GUCCCAUUGUGACAGAAUGAAACCGUGGACCAAGUAGCUGUCAUGAAGUGAGCAACUUUCUUCUGCCACACCCUCCCACCUUGAUGUUUCUGCCUCACACAGAUCUAAAGAGAUGGAACUAGCCAACCAUGGACUGACACCUAUGAAACCAUGAACCACAUAAGCUUUUCUUCCUUUAAGCAGAUUGUCAUGGUUAUUUUGUCUCAGUGACAAAAAGCUGGUCAACACACCUAAUUCCAUCAAAAGUUAUAGGUCAAAGAGGAAGGGCAUCACAUCGGCACUUUCUGAAAGCUGUCUCGGAAACAGAGAUUGUGACGGAUUGUAUUCUUCCAGCCUUCUUGGAGCUGUCCCGAAGAAAGGGGAGUGCUGUGAAUCUGCUCGGUCAUGAGCAGGUGCGACUUGGUGAAGGAGAGAAAGCACUUGUUCCCCAUGUCCCAGGCCAGGAGCCCGGGGACCUCGCCAUGGAGGCUGGCCCAGAAGUCAGAGUCACGGAGCUUUGUGGCCACCGUGGGCGAAGGAGUGGAGCGCAGGUGGGGAGCUCGGCCCCACGCCCACGCCGCUUCUUAAGUAGUCGGCGGUCCAGGUGCAGGCCAAGCAAGCGGCGCAGAUGCCCGAGCUCGCCACUGCCCCGAGGGCUCUCUGUGCCCUGGUCCUCGGAACUCAAAGUUUGAGGAUCCAGGAGGACGCACAAUAUGUAUCUCACACCUUUUCUCCCCUGGCG